Cucurbita pepo subsp. pepo (vegetable marrow) is the source of this 1078-nucleotide RNA transcript. RefSeq lists it as uncharacterized. The record is from RefSeq and is a predicted model, not a curated record. Lineage: Eukaryota; Viridiplantae; Streptophyta; Magnoliopsida; Cucurbitales; Cucurbitaceae.
GCCGCGACACGAUCGCCCCCUAAUCUUCCCUUCACCACCGGUAGGAUUCUCUAGUUCGACUGAGUAGGGCUGUAAAUUUGUAAACCCUCGAUUUAGGGUUUAUCUUGUUCAUUCUUCAAUCUCUUCAUCUAUCUUUCUCCGGUGAAAAUGGCGAACGAGCAACGGUCAUCUACAGGGCCCUGGAUCCUCGAAGCAAUGCCUUUCAUCGUUGUUCUUCUCAUAGCAGCUCAUGUCUUUGCUUUGGUAUAUUGGAUUUAUAAGUUGGCAGCCCAAAAACAACCUCCGAGGAGGAAGGCACACUGAGAUACUGUAUGAUUCGUUCCUGAAAGAAACUUUAGUGAAACCGAAUUCGUUAAUUAUAGCGUCUUUGAUGUUGAGGAGGCGGUCACAAAAGCCAUGUAACGAUGUUUCUCUCUCAGGCAAAUCCCAGGACUUGUAGCAUCAAUAGAUGCUUUCUUCAUGUUAGUCUUGUCUGGUUGGCGAUUGUCGAUUGCUAUUGACCCACUAUCGAUUUACAGGUAUAUUACUCUCGUAACUUUUUUUUGUUCUUCUUCAUUAGCCAUCUGAAUUCAAAGCACUUGAUAAGAUAUUCCUGUAGUAUAAGUAAGCCUGUGCUAUGUUCUUUUUCGUUUCUCCAGUGUUUUCCUUACUUGAUUCGAUCUUAGGAAUAUAGAUGUCGGACUCCAACAAUCUUACUCUCGAACAAAGUACCAUUGAGUCUCUCCUUAAAUAGUCAUCUAUCUGUCCAGCACUAGCGAGAAAACUUUUCUUUUUUUAGAGUAUAUUGCUAGUUCAAUAGAGCUCUACUACACGUCUUCACUAUGACUACAUCUUUGAGACUCACAGCUUAUUUGGUUAAGAUACCACUUGUUAGGAUGGAUGAAGCUCCACAAUGGUCCGACAUCAUCCACUUUGAGUAUAAGCUCACGGUUUUACUUUUGGUUUCCUUAAAAUGGAUCAUACCAAUAAAGAUCGUGUUUCUUACUUAAACCAAUGUGUGAAAGUUUUUUUUUGUUUUUGCCCAAGCUUGUACUUCCUUAUUGCAUGAAUUUUAAAGAUAGGUCGGUAUUAGUUUCUA